UCCAACCUUCCAGCAUGUGAGUUGCACUACUCCUUUUCAUGACCUUUACUUUGCAUGCAACUCCAUGAGGUUGCAAAAUGCACUGGAUGGUACUCCUUCUGUUUUCAUAUAAUUAUUGCCAUUAGCUUUAUUUUUCAAACUCAUUAAACAUGGAAUACCUCAAGGGAAAAAUAUUAAAGUAUUUUGAAUGAUAAAUGUUAUAGUAUUAUUCUUUCCUACUAACUAAAAAAAUUAAAAUACUACUUGUCAAAUGUUGAAUAGUAUAGUCAUGCUCAUUGCUGUUAAAAAAGGCUGGGCCAGUACUUGAAUUAAGAAAAUCAGAUCAGAUAAUGCUCAACAUGAGUGUCUCCAUAUGAGAAAUUAUUUGGUGAAAAAUCUUUUGGUGAAUAUGAUGGAUAAGAUUUUCAUUGUGGAUAUUUAGUAUCUCAGAUUGAAUAACCUUAUCACUUGAUCACACAAGCAUAUUCAAAAGCACUCUCAUGUGGCCAUCAUUGAUGCCCCAAUCAUCAAAACCAAGCAGAGAAUUUUGAGACCACCUGAUCAGGUAGCAAGUUCCAGCUUAGCUGCUUAGGAUAGAUAUGUCAGGAAGAAGCAGCCAGUAUCUUUCUAGAUGAUUUUGAUUUCAUCCAGAUCCAGUUCACGCAGCAAACAAAGUCUUCCAUAUGCACCGUAUGUGGCAUCGACAAAAAAUAAGUAUCCCACCUGCCAUUCUUAUGGACCACUGGACAUGCCUCCCUUCUUUAGCGUUAUUUGGCUGCUUGGAGCCUGCUUACUUAGUGAACUGUUUGGGGAGCUCCUUGCUAAGGGUGCAAGGGGAUUCUCUUCCUAUUCCUCGACUAAAUCCUUUCUGCUGAUCUGUUAAAAAAAAAUAGUAUCUAUUUCCGUUUGCCUUUCCUAGAAGGUUGUUCAAAUGUUUGUAGAGAUAUUCUUCUUGUCAUGGUCUUUUUGUUUCUGUACUCUUUUUAAUGGGAUUUUUUUUUUCAGUCCACAGCUUAUAUGUAUUGAGCUGAAAGAGAAAUUCAUUUUGUUCAUUGAAAUGUGGAAGUAAUAUUCGUACAAUGAAUAUUUGAAAUCCCCUAGGGGGAAAGGGCCGUAAUAAAUAUAACUCCUCCAUUCCAAAUUUAAGGCAUUUUAGUUUUGUCCUAGGUGAACAUCUCUAACUCUGACCAAGUUAUAGAAAAAUGCACUAACAUCUAAAACAUCAAUUUAAUUUCAUUGAAAUCCACCAUGAAAUAUGUAUUGAUAGUGCAUUAAUUGGGUACUCCAUCCCAUUAAACAAGGCGCAACUGCUUUGUACGCAAAGACCAAGGAAGCUCAUGUAACUUGUGAGAUGGAUGCUGCAGAACUAGAGGCUUUAAACAACCAAAGGAAACCAAAGAAUAGCUAGUGCAUGCAUGCGCAUGAACAGAAAUUACAGGAGUCAAGAAGGUGCAGCUGCCGUUGCUGCCCUAUAUUCUGGGACUUUUGAAAAAAGCAGUUGCGUCUGGUAUAAUGGGAUGGAGAGAGUAGUGUAGAUGUUAAUAUAGGGCCAAUUUGGAUUGCUACCUACCAAAAUUUUGGUAGGGUAGCAAACCAAACACCUCUAUUAAAACACUACCUUUGUCAUAAAUUUGGCUUUGCCCAUGAACUUGUGUCUUAUGGGUAUAUUUUAGCUUCAAUCCUAAUCAACAUUUUCAACUCUUUACCCUACAACAUUUUGGUAGGGUAUUAAUACAAACACAGGCCCAUAUUUUUCUAUAAACUUGGUCAAGGUUUGAGAAGUUUGACUUAUAACAAAACUAAAAUGUCUUAUAGUAGUAUGGAAUGGAGGGAGUACAUGACUCUAGGUUAAACUAUUCGUUGAUGAUUGCAGUUUUGAGAAUUAUAACACAUUUCUCCAUUUGUAGUUUUGUACCAUAAAUUCCCUCUGCCUUUUGCAGCUAUGACUAUUAUGUGAAAUAUUGCAGGUUCUUUUGUUGUGCGCAUAAAAACAUGAGCUGCAGAUUUUAUGCCUGCUUGUUCGAUCAAGCGGUUUGAACAUUAAAGAGUGCAAGCACGCAAUAGCCUGGGAAAUACGCCUUGUAGCUGCUCCUUUUUCUUUCUCUUUGUUCUUAGAGGCACCUCUUUACUUACUGACUUCAUCAUACCUUCCUUUGUGCACAUCUUAAGAUUGGGUGUAAUUUUGUGAUUCGUGUGAACAAGAGAAGACAAAAUGUAAUAUUUCUCCUGAGAUACUGGCUAGAGCCAUGUAAUUUUGUUGUCUAGCAGUGGAGAAUGUUUUAUCUUGUAUGUGAUGCCCGCGCACAGUCACGAUUUACCUGUUUUUAUGGUUUCAUUUUUAUGGUUUCAUCGAUUUACCCUGUUUAGGGGUGUUUGGUUUGUAACUUGGACGUUGUGGAAACAAUAGAUCAUAGCUGAUAGUUUUGUUGUUUGUAGAGCUAUCCGUUUCGUAAAGAUAAUGUACCGCAUGGGCUUACCAAUCCUGCGAGCCAAUUUUUUUUUUAAGUGUAACCAUUAGCUAGUACACAAGCUCCUUUUAACGGGGCUUUUAACUAUUUGCCACUCUUACGAAUGGUGCUUAAUGAUUUUCCACUAGACCCAUAUGUCAUAGACACAUGAGGACCUACGUGUCAUUGAUAGGGUGUGGCAAAUCGUUAAUUGCCAUGUCAUAAGAGUGGCAAAUAGUUAAAUUUCCUCCUUUGAACAUGAGUACAAUGGCCAGACCACGUUGACGAGGGUAUCUUUAGUUUAUGCCUCCUUGAACGCAUGAAUUUUAUAGCAAGGAUUUUCAUUUGAAUUAGUUCAAUUUUCUUAAAAUUCCUCUAAUCCCACUGUAGAAUCAAGAUGUUGAUUUAAUAUACAAUUGUUAAAGGUGGGUGUUUAUUUGAAAAUACGAUGAGUAGUGAUUUCAGACUACGAUGCGUGAUCGGACUGGGAGGCCAGUCAGACUGUAGGGGUGUGAUCGGUCUGACCUAGCAAACUCCGGAAGAGAGUUGGUUUUACCGGAGUUUUUAUGCGGUCUAACUGGUGACAUGGAGGUGGUCCAAUUGGCGGUCAGAUCGGCGAUGUGCAGGGAGUCAGACCGGCGAGAGUACUGCGGUCAAACCAACAGCGAUCUAAUAGUGUGAUCGGCGCAACUUCGUCAAGUUUAGGGUAAUAUUUUAAUUCCAAAAAAGAUUGGAAUUAUUUCUCCAUAAAAAGAUCUAAUACUGUGCUUUGGUGUUCCUACCAUUCAUCUCUCUGGUAGGGUUGGUUCUUAUAUUCGAUCCUACACUCACAUCCUGAAGGAGGCCUUGGUAAGUAUCUUAAUGAUCCUUAUAAUGAAUUACUAAUUCUAUAGUUUAAAUAUACGGAAUUAUUUAAAUUAGUAUAAAUUAGGUUUAAAGAAUAUCAUAAUUCUUAACGAUUUGUCUUAAUCUGAAAAAUUAUGUACGUACCAUUUAUUAUAACUUGUUUCGUUAUUAAAUGUAAUUUAAAUAUCCUAAUCUUAACUAAUUAAAAGAUUCGUAAUUUUCCAACCGUCACCGUCCAUUUUUUGUUUGUCACUUUCGCGUUCACCCGUUAGGGGUUGCACCAGUCGCUCCACCUAAUCGUUACUUUGCAUCCUCAGAAUCGGACAAUGGAAACCAAGUCAUAACAAAAGAAUCAGCAUAAGAAUCCAACCUUACACAAGCACCUUUUAAAAUCAGUGUUUCACAGCUUCAAUACAAUCAAAUCGGAUGCAUAACAAAACAAGGGAAAAACAAGAACUCAAGAUAAAAAGCAAAUCCAAAAAUUCCCUAAAAAUAGCCUAAUCUUUGAACCUGUGGAGGCAGUGACAAGAGACAGGUGGAGAGGAGGGGGGAGGUGACCCCUGGCCGCCGCACGACCGAGCCCCGCGCUGCCGCAUAGCCCCACCAUGCCAUGCCAACCUCCGCAUCGCACCGAGCCGCCGCACGACCUUGUCCUCGCCGUCGCCCGGCCGCGACGCCCACGGCUGGCCGCAGUGCCUCACUAGUCUCUGCACCCGCCGCGCCGCCACCGGCCGCCUGAUCGGCCAGUACACCCGCCGGCGCCAUCAGGGGAGGAAGGGGAAAGAAAAGGAAAGACAAGCGAGAAGGAAAGAAAAGAAGGUAAAGAAAGAAUCUCUAGAGGAUUUGCAAAAAGGCCCC
RNAcentral lists this long non-coding RNA (4130 nucleotides) under Oryza sativa (Asian cultivated rice). RNAcentral describes it as "long non-coding RNA (OSAT_LNC001591)". The record is from RNAcentral. Lineage: Eukaryota; Viridiplantae; Streptophyta; Magnoliopsida; Poales; Poaceae.